This is a non-coding RNA of Picea glauca (white spruce), 109 nucleotides long. The record is from Rfam. Lineage: Eukaryota; Viridiplantae; Streptophyta; Pinopsida; Pinales; Pinaceae.
AUACAUUUCUUGGCCUUUUGGCCAAGAUCAAGUGUAGUAUUUGUUCUUAUCAAUUUAAGAGGGAUUGGAAAAACAUCACCCCUACCUAAAACAUUAAUCACAAAUCACU